CCUCUGUCCUGCUGGACACGGCUCGGACACGGCUGGAACACCAGGAUCUGCUGCUGAGGAGCCCUGGAGAGCCGGAGCCCAGCUCGGUGACGGGGCUGUGUGGGCACAGCCUGGCCCUGCUCCUGUCCCCACGCAGCUGCAGCCAGGAGCUCUGGGCUCGCCCAGGAGCCGAUCCCGAGGGGUUGCCCAUGGAAUAGGCGCUUUUCCAGGUGCCUGGGCACACGAGAGGCUGAAGUUGGUCGCCCCGGGGCACCCGAACCUGCCCUGCCCUGGAGCCCCCGGCCUCUGCCAUGAAUGAUGCAUCCACCAUGGAUUAUGAACUGCUCUCCCCGUCCCUGGUGGAGCACCCCGCCGGCGCCGCGGGCAUGGAUGCCGAGCAGAAAACUGUCUUUGCCUUCGUCAUCUUCCUCCU
RNAcentral lists this long non-coding RNA (412 nucleotides) under Camarhynchus parvulus. Its description in RNAcentral is "lncRNA (ENSCPVG00000015448.2)". Lineage: Eukaryota; Metazoa; Chordata; Aves; Passeriformes; Thraupidae. The record is from RNAcentral.